Molecule: non-coding RNA, 74 nt
Organism: Caranx melampygus (bluefin trevally)
Lineage: Eukaryota; Metazoa; Chordata; Actinopteri; Carangiformes; Carangidae
Source: the annotation of a GenBank genome assembly
GGCGCGGUGGUGCAGUGGUUAGGACUAUGACCUCACAAUACGAAGGUUCAGGGUUUGAUUCUUUAGCUGUGUCC